CACCCACCCAGGCCUCACGCCACGCGUUCUGCUGCCCACUGGAGCUUCGCGCGCCGGAGCUCUUCCGCUUGGUUCAGGGACACUCCUCCGUCCAGGUGCCCGCAUGCAGGGAUGGCUCCUCGCCAACUAUCAUUCCACCGUCACCCCAGGUUCGGUUUGCCUCCAAACGCCGGCUCAUCUCUGGUUAACCCCAUCUUCCCUUCUCCCCCACUACAACAUCCACUCCGUCAGCAACGCGGCAAACUACCUCCUCUCGGUGCAUCCGGAUCGCCUCCGUGUCGUGUGCGUGCGUCCUUGGGUGUUCAGGGUCUUAGUCGCCAGUCAAAAUAUUGCGAAUGUAAUUGUGACUCGGGGUCCUCUUGUUCUUGCGUCGUCUGUGCUCAUUCCGCACCACUCUCUGGCUUCUGCGGUGCGCGCCGUUGCCCGCCUCACAGAGUCGUCCGAGGUUGAAGAUGAUGUGAUCAAUGCAGCCCAACCACCACCCCGCCCUGUGGUCGCGUCGUCACUGCCGACCAUCCCGUCCACUGUGCCCGGUCACUGCAAAAAAUCGAGGGAUACGAUUCUGUCUGACUCCGCCGCGGGCUCUGACAGUGGUGGAAUUACACGUCUUGUCUCACCUGCCCCCCCUUUGCUGCCUCUCCCCGUCCCGGCUGUCGCUCGCCUUGCGACUGUCGCGCCCCCUCAAAGCUGUAAAUCCUUUUUAAACGCUGUGCUCUCGCCCGCCAAAGCUCCUCCUCGCCAACCCCGCCAAAACCUCCGCCUACCACCCGCCACCUCCAGCUGCUUUCGCUGCCUUGCUGCGGACCACCAGGUUCGCGAUUGUCGCGAUCCUGUUCGCUGUCGUGGUUGCGGUCGCGUCGGUCAUCGACGCUCCGGCUGCCCGAUGCCGAUCGCCCGGGUGCUAACCCCCCACCCUCGCCGCCGUUCUCCCAUCCCAGCCGCCCGUCGGGUGCCCGUGCCUGCUCCCCCCUACCCUGAGGACUCCUCGCUCUCGCCGGGCGUGUCCGCCCCCACCGAACCAUCGACGCUCG
RNAcentral lists this unclassified non-coding RNA (1031 nucleotides) under Zea mays. RNAcentral's name for it is "misc RNA Zm00001eb349290". The record is from RNAcentral. Lineage: Eukaryota; Viridiplantae; Streptophyta; Magnoliopsida; Poales; Poaceae.